Molecule: non-coding RNA, 94 nt
Organism: Mycena rosella
Lineage: Eukaryota; Fungi; Basidiomycota; Agaricomycetes; Agaricales; Mycenaceae
Source: the annotation of a GenBank genome assembly
GACCUGAUAGCACAACGGUUAGUGCUGUUGCCACGCAUACAUGACUUUGUGGGUACUUUCCGCAGAUGAUCCCGUUCAACUCGGGGUCAGGUCA